Rhipicephalus microplus (southern cattle tick) is the source of this 5579-nucleotide unclassified non-coding RNA. The record is from RefSeq and is a predicted model, not a curated record. Lineage: Eukaryota; Metazoa; Arthropoda; Arachnida; Ixodida; Ixodidae.
CUAGUUAAUGUUGGGAAACUCUAUGCUUGAUCACGAACAUCUCAAAAAGGUAGGUAUUUUUGUUUUUUCAAUAGUGAUUCAUUUGACAAUUGAUGCGGAACUCACUGUAAGUUUUUUAGAACCAAAUCAUAGCCUGCCAAAGAAAGAAAUGAAGCAAGAAACAAAGAUGACAGUGGCCAUGGGUGCAACGGCCUAGCCAUCCAGCAUGGACAGUAGUGGUGUUAAAGUUGAGCAGCCGGUUGUGCCCGACCGAGAGUCGUUGCCAGCUGACUCUGUUGACCAUCUGCUGCAAGAGACGCCGGAAGAGGAAGAAGCGGAGGGCAAGGGCAUCAACUUUCCUUGCGACGAUGACUUACUCGUUCUCGACGAGGCGUCAGCAGACCCACUGCCAGAGGUCGAGGACAAUGAGGGACCGGUUCGAACUUCUACACCGAAACAGGACAUUGAGGAGUCGUCUAGAGAAGAUGAUAAGUGUGGAAAAGAUGGUGAUGAUGCCAAUGCUUCUACAGUCUUCUGUAAUGACAAAGAUGAAGCAAAGAAAGCUGAUGUGAAGGAGGCAGAAUCUGAAGAAAAGCAGGAAAGCAUUGUGGAGAUUAAGGAUGAAGAGCCUGGGAAGAGCGAGGAACUGGAGAAGUGUGCAGAUGAAAUGCCGGAAGAAGUGCCGAAGGAUGAAGAAAUGGAAGAGCCCUCUGCCCAAGGAGCCGAUGGAUCGGCAGAGGGAGGGAAAUCCCUUGACAGCAGUGAUGAUGUGCAAGUCGUUGCUAUUGAGAAGCCAGAGUUUGGGAAACAAGAAGUCAUCAAGGGGAAUAAAAUGCCUGAUUCUGCCACUAAGGAGAACAAGACGCCAGUCUCUAACGGUGCGGGUAUUGCGGCGUCGGUCUCGUGCUUCAAGGAUGAGGAUCCUGACGACCCUGAUGCCAUUGAGGUCAAUGCAGACAACAUGGAUUCUAAGCCGCAGAAGCGAUCAGCGUCCAGUCAAGACAUCCUGGCUGAUCUCAAACGGGCCCUGAACAUGAUUGAUGCAGAAGGUGGAAAUUCAAAGCGAUUUAAGCUCGACAUGCAGGAUGAAGGCAAUGCGUUGGAGCAGGAAGACGGUGCUGAUCUUCCGGAAGCUCUGUCAACUGGAGCGUCGGCGUCUGCGCAGUCUGUGGGCUUGCCCGUCGGUUCCAGUCUGGUGGUGUUGAGUCGCAAACAGCUGGAGCAGUACGUGACGCGGCGAGUGCGCGAGUGUCUCAUGACGCAGGCCGCUACCCUGCUGCAGCCAAUGGAGAAGAAGUGCGACACUUUGCACCGAGCCCUGGAGCGGUGGCGGCGAAGGUCGUCCCAGCUGCAGAAACAGCUGAACGAGUUUGUGUGCGAGCAAGAGAAGUGUGCCAACGCCCGCCGCACUCGGAGGUCUGUUGGCGUCUGCGUACGGAUGCCUCCCUUGAAGCCACCGGGCCAGACUCCUGGGUCCCCUAACAUCAAGACGAUACCCACCACAGUUACUGCACCGACGUCUGCAGCCUCUCGUUCUCCGAAUGUGACUGUCACCCGUGGACCAGUCAUGACCGUCGCAACGGUGGCUUCGAGUGGCGGAUCACCUGCACAUCCAGCAAGCCCUGCGCAGCAAAUCAGAGUCACUGGCGCCAAUGCAUCAAUGCUGGCUGCGCAGCUGGGCUUGAAACCGAACCAGCACAUGAAGGUGCUGAGCGUUUCAACACCAAGUGGUGGCAGCGCAGCUGUGGUUACACGCAUGCCUCCUCAGUUGCAGAGUGCUCCUACCUUAUCGACCUCUGUGUCGUCUCCCGUGCCAGUGCCGAUGCAGCUGAUUGCCAACACUGCCAACAUUACUGCUUCUCAGUCGCCUGCUAUGAAAGUCUCAACAACUGUCUCUUCCUCUGGCACACCUGUACGAGCGGUUGUGGUGUCAUCCCCUAGCAGUAGCACACCGUCUGCACCAGGUGUGAAGAUCAUUGACCUCACUCAGGAAGAAGAAGCAGCAAAUGCUCAGGCUAAGGCCUUUUCAGCAGGUGGUGGCCUCUCUACGGGCACUGCAUUGCAGAAGGGCGCCGUCUCCUCGGCGUCCAUUCCUGUGCUGAGCGCAGCACCAACUUCAUUUGUGCAGGUGCAGUCUGCGUCGAGCCCUUCGACAACCCGUGUAAGCAUUGCAGGCACGUCAGUGGUGUUGAGCCACAUGCCCUCGGGCACGGUGACCCAGGCUGGGGCCAAUGCAGUGCGUCUCAGCUCGUCAUCACUAGUUGGACCGCCCACACGCGUGACAUACUUGGUGCCCAACUUGCCUCCCGGCAUGGUUGUUGCUCCACGCGAGGCUGGACCACGGCUUGCUACUGGCAGUGGUACCCAGCCCAUGCAGACCAUUUUGCUGCGCAUGGCAACACCAACGGGGGGUCUCACAACUGUGCCUGGAGGUGCCAUUACCAUGCCAACGGGUCUGUUGCCAGCGAAUGCAUCUGGUAGUCCUGGUGGGACACAGAGUGGAACUACCACCAUGAUGGUUGCAACGGCAGCAGGAUCUCAGGUGCGCAUGGUUCGCACUCCGCAACCAGUGACGCUCUCGAGAGGUGGUACUACCGUGACCCUGCCUCCUGGAACGACGCUGGUGCGCGCUCCAGUGGCACCCAACAUGCGACCAGGCAUUCCGCAGCAGCUGUCAGUGGUGCGACCGCCCGUUCCAACAUCCUCCACGGCAACCCCCAACCUUUCACUUCCUUCGCCCAAGCCACCGCUGCAGGUUCAAGUGCCUGGUGCACCUGUCAGGCUGCCAUCGCCAUCAUCAUCGCUGCAGGUUCAGGUUCCGGGCAGCAGUGCCACCGUGCAGCCGGCCAAGUCGGGUGCCUCUGCUUCUAACGUAAGAACAGGGGUGCCACAGCAUCCAGCCUCUUUACCACCUACACCACGGUACAUUGAUGACCCUAAAAAGAAACGACUACCACCCAAACCUUCUUUGAAGAUCACGAAGGCCGCCAGUGCCGACAACUCGACAAGCGUUCACAAAGCGCCUCCGGCCAACAAACGCGCGGCGGUCAAAAAGGAGAAAGCCGAGCCAAAGCCGCCGACCGCGGAGGACAUGGAGAAAGUUCUGGAACAAUGGCAGACGUUCCUCGACAAAAAAGAGGAGGACAAGGAGGGGGACAAGAAUCGGCGACGGCUGCCCUAUCACACGCAGCGGCCCCUACGUCACGCCUGUCUCUGCCGACUGGGCACCUGCCAGUACGAGAAGCUCACGGCAACUUUUAAGGAGCGAAUGCACGCGAACUUUGGUUGCCUCGAGCCGGAUCAGCAGCUGCGCAAGCUGCUGGGCCGCAUGUACACCAAGGGCAAGGGAGCCAAGCGGAUCUUGAAGGCCUGCAAGAAAGAGAAGGGCUCUUCGGCCGCUGCCACCCAGAAAGGCAGAUGCAAGUGGGUGUACUGGCUGCCUGCGUCAAGUGGGGAGCAGCGUGAGCGCAAGGUCUGCAAGGCGGCCUUCAUGGCCGUGCAUGGCAUCACCGAGAAGAGGACACGCGACGUCCAGUUGCUGUGGAUGAGACUGAGGGCCAAGCGUGGACGCACCCCCACUGGUGACGAGUCUGACAUCGAGCAAGAGGAGUUGAUGCCCGGCACUUACACAGACAUCGACGACGAGGAUGAGGAAUUGUCCGAGAAGCCAGCACUAAAGCGUGCUUGCAAACCGCACAGGGGGCGCAAGGUUCUCAGGGUACCUGAAAGCGACGACAGCAAAACGACAGACAAUAAUGUUACCUCCAGUGUGGAGAGCAAAGUCAGUGAUGUACAUAUGCCAGAGAAUGGUUCAAAGAAGACCGUGAAGUUGCAGUCGUUACAUGCCCCCGAAAAGAGCACUGUACCUAGUCAAGAUGGGGAUGAAAUGGAAGGAUAUAACAAAGCAGAUGAUGAUGACGAUGAUGUGCCUUACCUUGAUAUGACUGGAUUUGAACCAAUAUGUGCACUGGAAGAGGACAGCGAAAACCUGGUCCUUUCUCUACCGCGGGGUGUCUUUGGGGAGGACGAAGAAGUUACAGGAGCAACUUGAAAGGUGUUUCUUUUUUUUUCUUGCCCAUGGAUUCAUCAACUUUCUACAAAAGGUCUGGUGCUGUCGUGGAACAUGACUUUCAACUCGCUUUAUGCCGAGAUUCAGACGUACCAGCUGUACGCUUACCAGGAAACGGACAGCCCUCCCGCUACAUCCCACUGGAAGAAAGUUGGUGAUGUGCGAGCAUUGCCCCUGCCAAUGGCUUGCACACUGACUCAGUUCAUCGAAGGACACAAGUACCACUUUGCUGUGCGGGCUGUCGACGUUCACAACAGGCUCGGCGCAUUCAGUGAUCCAUCCAGCAUCCUACUGUAGUGAGGAUGACUCAUCGAAAUUCGUGGCUUAGUGCAAGAGACCAUCUCUCUUCACGGAAACCUGGUGCGAUUUGUGUAGCACAUCUUUCAUUCAUCUGACCUGGACAAAGUUGAGUGAUAUUGUGAAUGACUACGAUGUUUGUCUGCUAGUGAGAGCUCUUCAAAUGUCUGCGAGUGUUACGCCUCAUGUUUUUAAAAGCACUGCGUUUUAAAAGCAGGCUUCAUUUGCUGUGGAAAAGCACCCCCUUUAGGAACAUUGUGUCCUAUGUCUCGACGAGUCAAACUGGGUGUCUUCAUGCAUUUCUAAGAAUGGCUCAGUGCCAGUCAUGAUAGAAUGCAGGUUCGUAGCAUUGCUCAUCAUUCAUCCACACCCUGUCUUUAAUGCGUGCAAAACUGUCUCUGGUGCAAAGAUGUAGCCUUGAUGCCUUGAAUAGAGUGCCAUCAUGCUAGAUGAGAGACUUGUGUAUUUCAGACCUUGCUCACAGUCAACGUCACUACCUUCAUUCAAAUGCAGUCGUUUUUUAGGCUCAAGUUCCUCCGUAGACUUGAGUUUGACAAAAUUGGCUAGCUAGGAGGUAAGGCACCCUAAUGUGUGAAUGUGGAAGUGGUGAUACAUUCAAAGACCCACUUUUGAGGCCAAUCUUUUCAAACUAAAUGGCACAUUUCAGCAUUAAAAACAAAUUUAAAUUUUGUUUGGAGUAACAGCAGGCCAUAUAAAAUGCCGCACUUUCGUAUGUUGGGAGCUGUGCUGGUAACAGUAUUUUCCUCAUGUCAGCAAGGGAAAGCCCGACUAGUCGAGUGCACAAAGGUACUCUAUACCUAUUUGGGCAGUGUGGUCUACAUAGUACCUGCCGUGUAUUGUGUGUUUGAUGUGCAGGUCGCACAUAAAUUUGCCUAGGUGCAUCGUUAUCUACUGGAUCAUAUUUCUUGCGUUUUCAUAGCACUUUUAGCCUCAGGGAGAGGUCCUUUUUCUUUUGUAGUUUCUCCUCAAGGGGAGGGUGUUUAAGAUUGUUUUGUGAAAGAUGUACAGAAAUUGUGCAUUGUAAUCAAAGCUUUGUCUUGUUCUAUUGAUUUAACCCAGAGUCAUUUUGAAUUUUCCAGUCUCGAAGUGUUCUUUUAAGUAUUUCAGAAAUAUUUUGUGCAUAAAUUAUAAUACUGCAGAGGCUGUUAGUUUUUUCACUGCCCAUUGUUGAAUUAAAACGUGAAUAAAAUGUUUUUGACAUCAAAUUUUAAAA